This 6122-nucleotide long non-coding RNA is filed under the name Taeniopygia guttata (zebra finch). Its description in RNAcentral is "lncRNA (ENSTGUG00000025349.1)". The record is from RNAcentral. Lineage: Eukaryota; Metazoa; Chordata; Aves; Passeriformes; Estrildidae.
CUGGGAGAAGAGGUUGCAAAAUCAAAAUCCCACAAAGUUCACUUCCAAUAUUAGAUAUACAACUUCAGCUUCCUGUAAGAUAAGGACAUUUUCUGUACAGUGGAUUCAGAAUUGUAAAAACAAGCCUGGCCUCUACACUGUGCAAGCAAUGCAGUGGAGACCUGACAUUCAAGGUUCACAGCAAGGGACAAUUUGCUGAUGUAGUAAAAGAGACACAAGAUAUUGCAAACACCAAAAGAAAAUAUAUGGUCUGUGUGUCAUUCAGUCAGAAAAUAAUUUUCAGAAGUAUCUGGAAUAUAUGAAUCAUAAAAUGUUUGAUCUGCAGCUCUUCUUUAAGAACACAAAUUAAGUUAUGAGCAAGACCAAAACUCUGCACCAGAGAUUCAGUGAAGAGUUUAUGAGGAAGUUCCCUAAAUAGUCAAAAGCAUAUUUUUCUGUAAUUGUGCUCUGAAAGGAGACCAACUUUUGAGUUCCUACCAGAAUGCACUUCCUCCCACACACAGGUCCUGUUUCUGAGAAACCUGCAGUGAAAUCACCCAUAGGAAUAAAAGAGUCAGUUAUAUUACAUCCAGACUCACCUGCUGUGCCCUGAGGAGCAGCACCUGUGUGUCAGACGCUGAUUUGGUCCAGCAGAGCACAGGCCAGCCAGGACACUGCAGUUAGGAAGCUGCAGCUCAAGGAGACCACAAGAUUAACAGGCUCUCCACUGUAAGAGGGCAGAGACUCCAGAAACAGAGACUCCACUAUAUUUCUAUUAUCAAGACCUCCACUCUAAAAUUUAGGCUCUCACUGUGUGCUCCAGCCUCAACCCUGUAAAGGUGUUUUAUCAUCUCCCUCACACUGAAACAAUCAGUUUUCUCCCGUCUGCAGGAUAUACUUUUUGGUUGGUUUUCCAGUAAAGUGAGAUAACACAUCCUGUCUCCUAUGACCUAAGGCCACUGUUAUUCUGCAAUGUUUCUUUCUUUUGCUUAUUAAUUCAGAAACUGCAGUUUAAGAUCCCUAAAUUAGAAGAGAUCUUCAAUGAGCAACCUGUGGUCCACAUAAAACCUACAAAGCAACAUCAAGAGCCUCACUAAUUGUCUCAAUUCCUCCUUCUGCACCUGGCCCAAGCCCAAUACUUUUCUCCUGUCCAGCCCACUGUGCACAGAGCAGGGAUGCUGCACACACAGGAUUUGUGCUGACAGACCAUCUUAUCCCAUCAGAAUCACAGUGUCCUUGUCAGGCUGCACAAGGGUGAAAGCCAAAUGCAGGGCUAAGUCUCCUCCUGCAAUCACAGAAGCAAGAAAUGGCAGAAAGGGGUCUCCAGAGACAACCUACUUCAUUCUCGUGAUUAUUUGUCAAACAGAGCUUUGUCCUGGGUCAUGGACAGCCAGCAUCUCCUUCCCUGCAAGUAAGCUGUGUUUUCAGAAGCUCACUGAUCCAUUUUUUUUAGAUGUCUCAAGUUAGAAGCUUACAAAAACCAAAACUCAGACCCAAACACAGAAGUAUCAAGCUCCUUCCCACUGGAAGGAGACAAUUCAUUUUCUUGAGUUAUUUUCGUGACACAUCUGGAGAAUAUAUCUUUGUUUUCUCUCAAUGUUCUAUGUAGCUGGACAAGGAGAUACUUACCUUGUGCAUCAUAAAGCAUCAAGGCACUGUUGCUGUUUUUCUCCCCUAAAGGCUUUUGCCUAUUUUGCUUGCUCAGAAAAGGCACCUGCUUUCAAUUAAGACACAUGGGCCUAAAUAUACCUCACUGGAAAAAGUGCCCAUAAAGGUAUGUACAUAUUUAUAGCUACAAGAAGGAUGCACUCAGAAAACUGUUUGCUCUGCACUGUGGGGAUUUUUGAAGGAAUUUUAAAUGAGUUAGGCACGGGACCUCUGAGUUUUUAGAUGAUGUGGCUUCUUUUUCUUAUCUUCUGCAUAGGCAGGAAGGGUGAGUUCGGCUCACAUCUUUACUGCAUGGUUCAGAAGGUCACAAGACCCUUAGUUACAAGACCUAUUAAGAAUUUAUUGACCAAUAAAACACUGCCAAUAAGUAUAUUUAUGUUUUUGACCCAAUCCUUAAAUAUUUACUCUUAUGGACUCAUGCUACACUGUAAGCUUUCUUAGUCAAUCAUGUUAUGAUACACAGACCUACAGUACUGCAUUCUAAACUCCUUUUUUACCUUUGUAACUAUUUUUAUUUUUUCUAUGUCUUAAACUUUAAAACUUUCCUCAACUUAGUGAGUGCCUGCUUUAAACUAUAAAUCCUCAUUCUCACUUCUAUCACCUAAGUUUGGAAGCCUUUUCCAAGGUCUCAAAUCAAAUCCUUUGUUUAAUUCUAAGCUUUGACUUACAGGCCCAAAGUUCUGAGAAUUCCCUGCAUUUCAUAUUCCAACACUGCUCAGAGUGCAAGGAAUGUGCAAGGAAUCUCAGUUUUCUGCACACUUUCCAUAAUCAAGCAAAUGAGCUGCUGGCAGAUGUUUGGCUGCAGACCUGCUUCAAGAAGAACCAGAUACAACAAAGGAAAUGCAGAUAAACCCCAAGGCUAUUUGCAAGCUGAAAUACAGCACAACACAGAGCUGCAGAAAAGGGGGACAAAUUCAAGAAAAAAAUCAAAAAUUCAAAAGCAGCUGGACAGAGUAAGCACAUGAGAUUACUGGCUUUCCUUGCCAGAUGUUAUUGGCAUGUCACUAGCAGAGGUAAUCACCUAAAAAAGACAAGAUGUAAAUUUUAGGCUGAUUCUGGCUCUGUGUUAUUUUGGUCUGUGGGUUUUUUGGUGUUUGGUUUUUUGGGUUUUUUUUUUUUGGUUUUUUUUUUGUUUGAGUUUUUGUUUUGUUUUUUGUUUUUUGGUUUGGUUUGGGUUUUUGUUUGUUUUUUUUUUUGUUGUUGUUUCAUGGUUUUGUGGGUAUUUUUUGUGAUUCUAUUUUUGUGGGUUUUUUCCUAUUAUAAGGUUAUAAAUACAUUACCAAAUAGAAAUAACUGCAAUGAAUCUAGCCAAAAUUGCAUUGGCAUUAUCAAAAUGAGCAUUCUGCAAAUGGAACAGUCAUGCAGAGUUUUUUUUUACAUAACACAGAGGCCUCAUAUACAUAUAAUGGUAACAUGCUCUUUUAAAUAUUGAUAUGCACAUGAAAUUCAUAUAACUGAAAUUAAAUAUUCUGAACAGCUCUAAACUUAUGCUGUAUCAGUGUUGAUCUGUCCAGACUUCUUAAAAGCUCUUUGACAAAAAAAAUAAGUUUAAAUUACUUUCAAAUGAGAAAUCAUGAUUAUUGCAGUAAUUUCAUUUAUUCUAGCUAGGAAAACUGGAGAGCCUGGAAAAGUCAGACACUUUCCAAGUCAUAAUUUUCUCCCUACAUUUUAGUUCAAGGACAUGGACUUCAUUGACUGGUGAUUAAGAAAAGAAAAAUUAGGCAACCCAAGAUCUUAAAGUACUGAUACUCACAAGCAGAAAACACUGCUAUUGUUUAAUGUUUUCAGAUACUUUUCCUGGCAGAAAAGCAGACUAUCCAUCAAAGUACAGUAGCUGGCAACUGUAUACACCAAUAUCUAAUUUCUCUAAGGAAAAAAUGUUGCAUCUAACAAAAGUCUGUAUUUCUGUUUCCUUUCAAACUAUUCCAAAAAUUUUUAAUAGAAUAGGAGUAGCAAUGCAAGGAAAUAACAGUGAUGAACAAAACAGAUGUUAUGAGUCAGAUGCUCAGUUUGAGCACAUUGGAUAAAGCCAAUAAAUAAUUUGUAACAUUUAAUAAUCACGUCUCUGUAUCAAAGAUGGUUCUCCAUGAAGCUCCUGGAGGACAGAGCUGGUACAGAGCUGAGCAAAGGGGAACCCAAGCAAGUGUUAAUGCAGGACUUGCAGGGUCUGUGCUUGCUCCAGGAGCAGCCUGAGCUCCCCAGCCCUGCCCUCGCUGCUGCUCCAGCUCUGCUGGGACAGGCAGCACUCCCAGCACCCCAGGGCUUCAUGAAAGGACUUGAGUGUCAGGGUGGUUUGCCCCUUAUGAGACACUUUUCAGUAUAAAAUUAACUUAUUUUGAAGGUUUGAGUGCUUUCAGGCCUCCUGCUUUGCCAGCAACCAAAGGAACAGAAAAGAAAGAACCAAAUACAUUUGUUUGUUCUUGGACGCAGAAGAACUUCCUGUGGUUCUCUCUGUUGAGUCAUUUUUGAUAACCUUCAUGAUUCACCUCUGAGUAAUACUCACAUUGGUAAAUUCCCACUGUGCAGUGCUGCUGUAUUGUUUCUGGAAAUAAAAUCCAAAAAAUGCAAUGCUAUAAUGUGAGAUUUAAUGCCAUUGGUUCUCACUCAGAGUCCACAGGUGUUCCAGAUUACCAACAUCAUAAAAGCUUCCAUGUUAUUCAAUAAAGAAACUAUAGGAAAAGUACUCAGCACAUAGUUUUCAUCAACCAUUCCGUUUUGGUUUGACUGUGUGUUUAUUUUAACUGUCAAAUUACGAUACUUGUCAAAACAUAUCGCCUUCUUUCUAUCACCAUAUGCCAAGUUAAAUCUUUACAUUCUCACUUGAAUGUCAUGACUGCUUCAGCAUUUUGCACUGAAUAUUUCUCAAGUGUAGAACAAUCUUUGAAGUAAUACAUUCCUUUACUAAUAAAGUAACAAGAAACUAAGUAUCUCUCAUUAUCAUUAAUUUCCACAUCAACUGUUCUGUGAUAUUAUGACUAUGGCAGGAAAUGGUCUCUUUGCCUAUAAUUAAACACCAUAAAUUUGUCUGUACCUGUCAUAAGUAUAAAGGACAAGAUUUAAAGAGUGUAAGAGGGCAAAGCACCAUCUAAUUAAAUGGGCCGUUUAAGUCCUACUUUCAAAAUUUAGCAGAACAUGGAAGCCUCUGUCUCAUUUCUCCUAAUGAAUAUUUUAAAAAUGUGAUAUAAGUGAGAAUUGUUUAUCUUUUUUUCAUAGGCUAUAAAUGCAAAGUGGGCAUCCAACCACACUGUUCAACACUAAAACCCAAUCUGUCCCGUUAGGUUUGCCACAGCUCUUGGAGGACUUUCUUUUCAUAUUGAAAAGAACCCAAAUAAAUACAGUUUAUCACCAAAAUAGCUGGUCUGGGAAAAGUAUCCACUUGCCAAAAUCUAUUUUAAAAAACCCCAAACUUCCUCAAGUUUGGAGACAGACAGGAGCUGUGUGAAAAGAUAAAACUUGCUGUAAGGUUUGGGGUUUUUUAGUUAGUGAAACCCAAAGUAACUGGACAAAAAUUAAAACUUGUCCAACAGUUUACUGAUAAACUGUUAGCUUGAUCUGCGCUCUGGAGUCCACAGUGGUGCUUAAGAAAUUAAAAAUACAAAACUGUUAAAGCUCCUAUAACUCUUUUUUGGUGCCUUAUUCUUUACCAAAACAGAAAACACACAUAUGGUAUUAAGAUUAUUUAUGUAUAGUUAUAGAAAUAUGAUUAAGUAGUGAUUUUUUUAAAUUAAAUGGCAUAGUUGCAGCCUUUCGCUUGACUCUUCAUUGUGAAAGCAAACACUAUUUUAGAAAAAAAUACAGUAAAAGUGGAAUUCCCUCUGCCUUCAGCUUGAUUCUCAAAUGAUGCCAGAAGUGCUGAAAAGUCCCAGGCUUGCAGGCAAUUGUCCAUUCCCCAGCCUAUCCAGAGACCAUGCCUGCUGGUUGUCAUUCAGAAAACCUUUAUAUAGAACAUUCUACUUUUAAGACAACUCUCAAAACUGUAAACCAGGCGUGACCACAAUCCAUAAAAAUUCUCAAAGGAAGCUAAUAGAUUGAGGUGUCAAAAAAAAUACCUAAUUACUUCAAAUAUAGCUGGAGCAAAUCAACAAUCAAUAAAUAAAGUUGAUCUGAGCCAGUAAAAGAGCUCAGCAAAAUAGAGAUGCUGAAUAAACCCACAGAAGCUAAAUAAUUUUUAUAUCAAAUCCAUACUCACACAGAAUGUUUUUAACCAGGAGGACUACAACUUCUUUGUGACAGCUGGGAGCUGAAUAAUAAGUUCAUGCAACAUUUUAUCAUAUCUGCCUUACACUUGUUUCAAGUUUAGUUCCAUUCUAUAUUCACAAUAAAACCUCCCCUCUCAAUUCAUUACCUGCAGUUUUAAUUUGAUAAUACUUCUGAAAGCUAAGAUUAUGUAUUUUAUCUACUUCUGGGCUGGGUUUUGAGAACAGCAUAAAAAAAGAAUUUUGGAAUUAAAAAAAAAAAAACAACAAAAAAAAGUA